AUUGAACGCUGGCGGCAGGCCUAACACAUGCAAGUCGAACGAGUGGCGGACGGGUGAGUAAUGUCUGGGACACUGCCCGAUGGAGGGGGAUAACUACUGGAAACGGUAGCUAAUACCGCAUACCAUCGGAUGUGCCCAGAUGGGAUUAGCUAGUAGGUGGGGUAACGGCUAACCUAGUCGACGAUCCCUAGCUGGUCUGAGAGGAUGACCAGCCACACUGGAACUGAGACACGGUCCAGACCCCUACGGGAGGCAGCAGUGGGGAAUAUUGCACAAUGGGCGCAAGCCGGAUGCAGCCAUGCCGCGUGUAUGAAGAAGGCCUUCGGGUUGUAAAGUACUUUAAGCGGGGAGGCGUUACCCGCAGAAGAAGCACCGGCUAACUCCGUGCCAGCAGCCGCGGUAAUAC
Molecule: ribosomal RNA, 406 nt
Filed under: uncultured bacterium
Lineage: Bacteria
Description: partial 16S ribosomal RNA
Rfam family: Bacterial small subunit ribosomal RNA
Source: RNAcentral